GAAUAGCUCAGUCGGUAGAGCAUGAGACUCUUAAUCUCAGUGUUGUGGGUUCAAGUCCCACAUGAGGCA
Podarcis lilfordi (Lilford's wall lizard) is the source of this 69-nucleotide non-coding RNA. The record is from the annotation of a GenBank genome assembly. Lineage: Eukaryota; Metazoa; Chordata; Lepidosauria; Squamata; Lacertidae.